UGAAAUCACAAUCUCUUACAGCUCAACAAGCACUGUAGAGAGAGAGAUGGGUGCGAUUUCUUGCCAACGGGAUCCUGAUUGGGUUGUUUCUUCGACCGAAUCAAUCCUACAGAACGAUAAUCAGACGACUGUAGAAUUGGAAGACGAAGAAGAAAGAAUGAGACUUUUCAGUGGCUUUAAUCGGACCCAGGAGAGGAAGAUGGAGGAGAAGACGAAGAACAAGAAGACGAAGACGAAGAAGAAGAAGAACCAGGUGUUGCUGGAAGGGUACGUGGAGGUGCCGAGUGAGGAUGAUUUGAAGAGGACCAAGAGCUUGACUGACGAGGACCUUGAUGAGCUUAAAGGGUGCUUGGAUCUCGGGUUUGGUUUCAGCUACGAUGAGAUCCCUGAGCUCUGCAACACCUUGCCCGCUCUCGAGCUUUGCUACUCCAUGAGCCAACGAUUUCAUGAUGAACACCACAAGUCCCCUGAAACCUCCGGUGUAUCUGAGCCAAGCUCGAGCCCGGUCCCCAAUUGGAAGAUCUCUAGUCCUGGUGAUCAUCCAGAAGAAGUUAAAGCAAGGCUCAAAUAUUGGGCACAGGCCGUGGCAUGUACUGUUAAAUUAUGCAGCUGAUAAGCAAUUGUUUUGGGUGUAAAAUAUUCAUAUUCAGAGUGAACGGCAGUUGAAAUUUGCAUCCGGGUUUGGAAGUCACAGCCUGGGCAUUCAUCUACUUUGUCCACUCCAUGGGAACUUUUUGGACGAAUGAGAGAGUUCCUGCCAUUCUUUAGCUGGUUUGGACCAGCUCGACCCUGUCCAUGAUGGAUCAACCUUAAAGAUGCGGAGAAACAAGAGGAAGAGGACGAGGAUGAAGAAUGUUUCAGUAGUGCUGAGAGCCUGCAUUAUAAACUUCGCCUGCUAGUCUAUUCACCUCUGCGUAUGCUGAGAUGAAAUGACCCAUCUGGCUGGUACUGCCGAGGGCGAGCGAGGAGUAGAGAAAUACCAGUGAUGCUGUGUAUGUGCAUAUAUCUCUGGAUCACUAUAGUCAUAGCUCUCGCCGUGACUGAGUAUAAUGAACAAUUAUCUAUGCGGGAAAGACAAGUUCCCUCCUUGUUUUGAUCAUGUUUACUGGAAACUUGACAUUUUUUUAGUUUUGGUCCGUCUUCUCGACUGCAAAAGGCAUAUGAAGAUGGGCUAAAUUGCAGUUUUUUUGAAGCUCAAUCCUGUAUAGAUAGAUGUGUUUAUUCCAGCCAUGUUGAGAUUGUUUUGAAAGGAAGGUGGCAUCACCUUCCACUUGUGGAUAAGGAAGGGAUAUUCUUUCUUGGUUCAAAAUUCCUUA
This is an RNA transcript of Tripterygium wilfordii, 1316 nucleotides long. RefSeq lists it as uncharacterized. NCBI's taxonomy places the organism in Eukaryota, Viridiplantae, Streptophyta, Magnoliopsida, Celastrales, Celastraceae. The transcript has 4 exons. The record is from RefSeq and is a predicted model, not a curated record.